UACGUAGGCAGCGAGCGUUGUUCGGAAUUACUGGGCGUAAAGAGUGUGUAGGCGGUGCUCUAAGUUCGGUGUGAAAUCUCCUGGCUCAACUGGGGGGGUGCGCCGGAAACUGGAGUGCUUGAGCGUGGGAGAGGAAAGCGGAAUUCCUGGUGUAGCGGUGAAAUGCGUAGAUAUCAGGAGGAACACCUGUGGUGUAGACGCUUUCUGGACCAUAGCUGACGCUGAGACACGAAAGCGUGGGUAGCAAACAGG
This 252-nucleotide ribosomal RNA is filed under the name uncultured bacterium. RNAcentral's name for it is "partial 16S ribosomal RNA". It matches the Rfam family "Bacterial small subunit ribosomal RNA", at positions 524 to 776 of the family's 1533-position model. The record is from RNAcentral.